This 435-nucleotide ribosomal RNA is filed under the name uncultured bacterium. RNAcentral describes it as "bacterial SSU rRNA". It matches the Rfam family "Bacterial small subunit ribosomal RNA", at positions 43 to 524 of the family's 1533-position model. The record is from RNAcentral.
CAGGCCUAACACAUGCAAGUCGAACGAAGGCUUCGGCCUUAGUGGCGCACGGGUGCGUAACGCGUGGGAAUCUGCCCCUUGGUUCGGAAUAACAGUUAGAAAUGACUGCUAAUACCGGAUAACGACGUAAGUCCAAAGAUUUAUCGCCGAGGGAUGAGCCCGCGUAGGAUUAGCUAGUUGGUGUGGUAAAGGCGCACCAAGGCGACGAUCCUUAGCUGGUCUGAGAGGAUGAUCAGCCACACUGGGACUGAGACACGGCCCAGACUCCUACGGGAGGCAGCAGUGGGGAAUAUUGGACAAUGGGGGCAACCCUGAUCCAGCCAUGCCGCGUGAGUGACGAAGGCCUUCGGGUUGUAAAGCUCUUUUAGCAGGGACGAUAAUGACGGUACCUGCAGAAUAAGCCCCGGCUAACUUCGUGCCAGCAGCCGCGGUAAU